AAUACUUAGGAAUCUACCUAUUAAUGGGGGACAACAUUUCGAAAGGAAUGCUAAUACCGCAUACGCCCUACGGGGGAAAGCAGGGGAUCUUCGGACCUUGCGUUAAUAGAUGAGCCUAAGUCGGAUUAGCUAGUUGGUGGGGUAAAGGCCUACCAAGGCGACGAUCUGUAGCGGGUCUGAGAGGAUGAUCCGCCACACUGGGACUGAGACACGGCCCAGACUCCUACGGGAGGCAGCAGUGGGGAAUAUUGGACAAUGGGGGGAACCCUGAUCCAGCCAUGCCGCGUGUGUGAAGAAGGCCUUUUGGUUGUAAAGCACUUUAAGCGAGGAGGAGGCUACUGGUACUAAUACUACCAGCUAGUGGACGUUACUCGCAGAAUAAGCACCGGCUAACUCUGUGCCAGCAGCCGCGGUAAUACAGAGGGUGCGAGCGUUAAUCGGAUUUACUGGGCGUAAAGCGUGCGUAGGUGGCCAAUUAAGUCAAAUGUGAAAUCCCCGAGCUUAACUUGGGAAUUGCAUUCGAUACUGGUUGGCUAGAGUAUGGGAGAGGAUGGUAGAAUUCCAGGUGUAGCGGUGAAAUGCGUAGAGAUCUGGAGG
This 597-nucleotide ribosomal RNA is filed under the name uncultured bacterium. Its description in RNAcentral is "bacterial SSU rRNA". It matches the Rfam family "Bacterial small subunit ribosomal RNA", at positions 112 to 704 of the family's 1533-position model. The record is from RNAcentral.